Molecule: long non-coding RNA, 780 nt
Organism: Sciurus carolinensis (gray squirrel)
Lineage: Eukaryota; Metazoa; Chordata; Mammalia; Rodentia; Sciuridae
Exons: 3
Source: RefSeq, a predicted model, not a curated record
AAUAUGAAGUGAAUUUCCCCAACCGCGUCCCAAAGUCAGCGUGCUUAAAGAAAAGCUUCACACCCUGAAGACACCAGCAAAGGUGGCAAAAGCUUCUCUAUGUGGACUAAGUGGGUGGACAAACUGCACUGGGAAGGAAAACGACACGAAAAGAUGCAAAGGUGGCCAACAGCCGGUGGGAGGCGGGAGAAGUAAGAAGAGGAAGCGGCUCCUCCUUUACGGCGGCCUCUUCCCCCGGGCACGAUGCUGUGACGGGUUCCCAUGGGCGACGCCAUGGUGCUGUACGGACAGCGCUCUCGACUUCUAUCCUGACGGGGAACAGUGAGGCUGAGAUCCGGAAGGUAUGACUCACCUCUUGGUGCCUGUUUCCUCAUCUCCUUCUAAGAGUUAUUGUGAAGACAAAAUAAGUCCUGCUGCCCAUGGGAAAUGCUCAAUAAAUGUUAACUACUAUUGCCAUCUAUUUAAAAGGAAGGAAGAACAGGCUGGAGUUGCAGCUCAGUGGUAGAGCACUUGCCUGGCAUGUGUGAGGUGCUGGGUUCAAUCCUCACCACCACAUAUAAAUAAAUAAAAUAUCCAUUGAAAAAUAUUUCAUCCACCAAAAAAUAUUUUAAAAUAAAAGGAAGAAAACCUCUUAUUCAGACUUCAAUGAAUAAGACAUAAGACAGCCUCAUAUUGUCUGGCACAAAAUAAGCAACCAGUAAGUACCGGUUAAAUAAAUAAAUGCAUGUAUGUGAUACAAUGGGUCUGAAAGAGGAUGUCCAUGGUAGAAAUGAAGAAAGA